GAUGAACGCUGGCGGCGUGCCUAAUACAUGCAAGUCGAGCGAACAGACGAGGAGCUUGCUCCUCUGACGUUAGCGGCGGACGGGUGAGUAACACGUGGAUAACCUACCUAUAAGACUGGGAUAACUUCGGGAAACCGGAGCUAAUACCGGAUAAUAUAUUGAACCGCAUGGUUCAAUAGUGAAAGACGGUUUUGCUGUCACUUAUAGAUGGAUCCGCGCCGCAUUAGCUAGUUGGUAAGGUAACGGCUUACCAAGGCAACGAUGCGUAGCCGACCUGAGAGGGUGAUCGGCCACACUGGAACGGAGACACGGUCCAGACGCCUACGGGAGGCAGCAGUAGGGAAUCGUCCGCAAUGGGCGAAAGCUUGACGGAGCAACGCCGCGUGAGUGAUGAAGGUCUUCGGAUCGUAAAACUCUGUUAUUAGGGAAGAACAAAUGUGUAAGUAACUAUGCACGUCUUGACGGUACCUAAUCAGAAAGCCACGGCUAACUACGUG
Molecule: ribosomal RNA, 497 nt
Filed under: uncultured bacterium
Lineage: Bacteria
Description: partial 16S ribosomal RNA
Rfam family: Bacterial small subunit ribosomal RNA
Source: RNAcentral